UUGUGAAUAUUUUUCUGUUCUGAUUUUGUAAUAAUCAGGACAAGUUAAACAUUCACUAUAAUAAUACUAUGCGUGGGUCCCCAGGCCUAGCUCUUUACCUACCUUGGCCUGGUUUUAGAAAUGCUGAUGAUAAAU
Small nucleolar RNA from Sorex araneus (European shrew), 135 nucleotides. RefSeq annotates it as small nucleolar RNA SNORA72. Lineage: Eukaryota; Metazoa; Chordata; Mammalia; Eulipotyphla; Soricidae. The transcript has a single exon. The record is from RefSeq and is a predicted model, not a curated record.